GGCUUGGUGGUCUAGUGGUAUGAUUCUCGCUUAGGGUAAACCCGAGAGCAAAGUGUGCGAGAGGUCCCGGGUUCAAUCCCCGGCCAAGCCC
RNAcentral lists this transfer RNA (91 nucleotides) under Xylaria sp. FL1777. RNAcentral describes it as "tRNA-Pro". It matches the Rfam family "tRNA". From Rfam's summary of the family: Transfer RNA (tRNA) molecules are approximately 80 nucleotides in length. The record is from RNAcentral. Lineage: Eukaryota; Fungi; Ascomycota; Sordariomycetes; Xylariales; Xylariaceae.